CCCGGGUGAUGCGGUGGCGCCGCCCGCGCUGGGGCGCCCGGCUGGGCGUCGAACCCGUGACGGCGCUGCUGUUCGAGGCGACAACCCUGGGC
Molecule: transfer RNA, 92 nt
Filed under: Mycobacteroides abscessus
Lineage: Bacteria; Bacillati; Actinomycetota; Actinomycetes; Mycobacteriales; Mycobacteriaceae
Also listed under: 2 other names
Description: tRNA-???(gggg)
Source: RNAcentral